GUCAGCAUGGUGUAGUGGUUUCAGUGUUGGACUACAGCUCAGGAGACCAGGGUUCGAUUCCCAGCUCAGCCA
Phrynosoma platyrhinos (Desert horned lizard) is the source of this 72-nucleotide non-coding RNA. Lineage: Eukaryota; Metazoa; Chordata; Lepidosauria; Squamata; Phrynosomatidae. The record is from the annotation of a GenBank genome assembly.